This is a long non-coding RNA of Nematostella vectensis (starlet sea anemone), 3291 nucleotides long. RefSeq lists it as uncharacterized. The transcript is spliced from 2 exons. The record is from RefSeq and is a predicted model, not a curated record. NCBI's taxonomy places the organism in Eukaryota, Metazoa, Cnidaria, Anthozoa, Actiniaria, Edwardsiidae.
GCUAGGUAGGAUGAGGUAGGGGAAGAAGGAAGUUGGAGGGGGAUCUACUUCAGAAAACGGAUACUAACAUCUUCACCAAAAUCAAAUGUAACCACAACCACCCUCUAAUGGAUAUUGCUCCUGUUGUUAUAUCAACUAAAGCCCCUUGUUAAUACUGAUAGAUUUCUCAACGCCUUUGCUAAUCACCCUGCAAGCAGAGCUUUCUUCCUGUUUGUUUCUAUUAGUUCACUUAUCCGUGUCGCGAGUCUGUUCUUUCGCGUUCUCGUUUGUUUGUGUCCGUAGUACCUGAGUACUAAUCGGCUUGCAUUCAGAUAUAAUCUAGCCUUAGCAAGUGAGCCUUGUGAGCCGGUUGUUUCGUUUUUGUAUUUCUGUACUUGAAAGAGCGCUCCUAGAAAUGUAUUUUUUCUAGUAAGGAUAAAGAUUAUUAUUAGGGAAUGGACUGUGCUCCACCUUUCACCGAAAAACGGCUGAGCUAGAAAACUCCGAAACCAUACCAUUUCCACCAAUUAGAAGAAGAGGUGCGGAGGUGUGCAAAAUGUUUUUUUUAUUCCAAUAUUAUACCGGGGAGCAAAGUUCUUAACUCACGCGUUUUUGUAAAAGGACUAAUGACCCUUAGAUCUCCAAAAAUAUAAUCGUAGAAAAGAAAUCUUAUUCUAGACAAUUUCAAGAUGUGUAAACAAAUCUAAGAGCGCGCGGAAAAUCAAAUCUAAAAAAGAAUUCGAAUAAGUUACUUACCGUAGUUUCAUUGCAUAGAUAGAUUAAAAUUGUAGCUUAAACACAACCGUCUUUUUUUUUUAUUUAGAAAGGCAUUAUUCCUACCUCGAAAAGAAAGUAGAUUCUUUAGCUUCCAUCGCGCAUAAACAAUCACAACUGCAAGACUUUUGAACAACUUCAGUUCAAUCCAUUAAAAGACGGUGCAUAAACGCUUAUUUAAUCAGAUCGAGAUGGUGCACAACACUUCUUAUUUUAUCAGAUCAAUCUCGAUAUAAAAAGUAAGUACUCUUCGAUUUUUUUUAUAAAAGCAAAAGGUUUAUUCAUUACAAAUAAUUGGCGGUCAUUUUGUGUUUUCAGACCCACAUACCUUUAAUGUCAUAUUGAUUUUCAUUAAAAAGUAUAGAACCGACCACCAAAUAACACACUAAGCCCAAGAAAGCCAACGAAGCGAGGAUUCACGAUCCACUCUCUUAUUCACAAAACCCAUUAUAUGAACGUGCGAACUGGCAUGGUUUCACGUCAAAAACAUAAUACACAGGGUUCCCAACAAGGAUAUAGGAAAAGGUGGAAUACUAAAAUACAGCGGUAUUUUAUAGAAAGCGCCUUUUUCACAUUUUGAUAUAUUUUGUUAUUUUUUUAUUUGUUUAAUUAAUGUUUGCGACGACGCAUACAAGGAUUAAAAUAUACCUUAAAAAGUUUUGUACAACAAAGAAUUGCUUUUCGUGAAUAUUUCACGGGUAACCGCUGGUUUACUUAUAAUUCUUGAAAAUAUUUUUUUUGGGGGGGGCAUGCCCCCAGUGCCCCACCCCCUACUACGGCUUGGCAAAAGACAAAAAAAAAACUUCACAACAGCGCGCGCUCAUGGCUUCAUUCCAGUGCACGUCAGCGCGCGCAGAAAACAGUUUGAAAAACUGGCUUCAAAUUCCAAGCAAUAUUUACUUCAUCGUUUGGUGGUUUGACACGUUUUUCUCCCGAAGAAUAACAUUUUUUAGUGUUUAAAAGUUCGUGGGAAUUGACAGGGUUGUUGACUGAUGAUGCACGAAUUCCCCUUACACGAUUUUAUGCUGCGUCAUCGCAUGACCUUUAUCAUGUAAUGAAAGCGACCAAUCCCGCCAAUCAGAGUGACUGUUCUAUCUCAAUUAUUGUAUAAUUAUUGAUAAAAGUACUUUCUUCAAUUCAGUAUGUGAAAUUUGAGCCCAAUUAUGCUUUGUAGUUCUGGACUGUUUUCCACAGAUGCCGGUACUAAGGCUAUAAGUUCAGUGAAGUGCAGGCUAAUGAAUGGUGCUACUGUGGCAAAAGCUAUGGUAAACAUGGCAAAGCAUCCGAAAGUGACUGUAACCAGGCCUGUAAAUGCGACCCAACCGUUAAGUGUGGCUCAUAAUGGAGAAGCUCUGUUUAUUCUAUUGAGUCGGAGAUCAAGCCAGCAGCACCACAGGCAUACCAUGACUCCCUGUACUCACCAGGUUUGCCCCUACCCCGAGAACACGUGAUCUACACAGAGUCUGGUUCACGACGUGUACGAAUGCGCAUAUUAUUGUGAGAUUUCACCUGAUUGCCUGUCAAUCAACUACGACCCCGUUGCCAUGGUGUGUGAGAUGUGUGCCGUGAGGGUCUCAUCAUUGGGAGGACUAGUGCCUAGGCGAAGCUUCAGACACUGGGUGCCUUUGCAUUUUAUGUCAGUAAUGACCUGAAACACCACACUGAGAUGCAACAAGACCAAAGCAAUAAGCUGAAUGGAACACCACAGAGAUGCAACAAGACCAAAGCAAUAAGCUACAUGGAACACCACACUGAGAUGCAACAAGACCAAAGCAAUAAGCUGAAUGGAACACCACACUGAGAUGCAACAAGACCAAAGCAAUAAGCUAAAUGGAACACCACACUGAGAUGCAACAAGACCAAAGCAAUAAGCUACAUGGAACACCACACUGAGAUGCAACAAGACCAAAGCAAUAAGCUAAAUGGAACACCACACUGAGAUGCAACAAGACCAAAGCAAUAAGCUGAAUGGAACACCACACUGAGAUGCAACAAGACCAAAGCAAUAAGCUGAAUGGAACACUACACUGAGAUGCAACAAGACCAAAGCAAUAAGCUAAAUGGAACGCCACCCUGAGAUGCAACAAGACCAAAGCAAUAAGCUAAAUGGAACACCACCCUGAGAUGCAACAAGACCAAAGCAAUAAGCUAAAUGGCACACCACACUGAGAUGCAACAAGACCAAAGCAAUAAGCUAAAUGGAACACCACACUGAGAUACAAAGUAAUAAGCUCGGGUAUACAUCGGAAAUAUUCUCAAAACAACUGAUUAUUCAUAAGCAAAAAAAAUAUCUAUAAGCCUUUUCUUAGUUUUGCAAAUACUCGAGCAGAUUUUUAAGAUAAAGGAUUUUUUUAAAAGAAAAAGAGUCUGGUUAUAUAAAAAAACAUUAAGAUUUUAGUAAAAGUGUAGAAGACUGUCAAGUCAAAAAGGACAUGGAAGCAAAGUGUAAACGCAAAAGUCAUAAAACAUAAUAAGGCGCCUUUUACUAAACAUCACUAUCACAUCUUAACUUAAGCAAAUAAAACGGCUAAUAUCUGG